UGGGGAAUCUUGCGCAAUGGGCGAAAGCCUGACGCAGCGACACCGCGUGAGUGAGGAAGGUCUUCGGAUUGUAAAGCUCUGUCGGCAGGAAAGAUGGAACAGGUGGUUAAUACCCAUUUGUUUUGACGGUACCUGCAAAGGAAGCACCGGCUAACUCUGUGCCAGCAGCCGCGGUAAUACGGAGGGAGCUAGCGUUGUUCGGAAUUACUGGGCGUAAAGCGUACGUAGGCGGUGACUCAAGUCAGAGGUGAAAGCCUGGAGCUCAACUCCAGAACUGCCUUUGAAACUAGGUCGCUAGAAUCACGGAGAGGUGAGUGGAAUUCCGAGUGUAGAGGUGAAAUUCGUAGAUAUUCGGAAGAACACCAGUGGCGAAGGCGGCUCACUGGACGUGUAUUGACGCUGAGGUACGAAAGCGUGGGGAGCAAACAGGAUUAGAUACCCGAGUAGUCCCUGAGCGGGCUGGCAAGGCGCAU
RNAcentral lists this ribosomal RNA (473 nucleotides) under uncultured bacterium. RNAcentral describes it as "bacterial SSU rRNA". It matches the Rfam family "Bacterial small subunit ribosomal RNA", at positions 355 to 825 of the family's 1533-position model. The record is from RNAcentral.